GACGAACGCUGGCGGCGUGCUUAACACAUGCAAGUCGUACGGAAAGGCCCUUCCGGGGGUACACGCGUGGCUAACGGGUGAGUAACACGUGAGUAACCUGCCCACAACUUUGGGAUAACUCUAGUAAACUGGUGCUAAUACUGGACAUGUGCUCCUGCUGCAUGGUGGGGGUUGGAAAGCUCCGGGGGUUGGGGAUGGACUCGCGGCCUAUUAGCUUGUUGGUGGGGUAGUGGGCUACCAAGGCGGCGACGGGUAGCCGGCCUGAGAGGGUGACCGGCCACAUUUGGACUGGGGUACGGCCCAGACCCCUAAGGGGGGCAGCAGGGGGGAAUAUUGGCAAAUGGGGGGAAGCCUGAUGCAGCCACGCCGGGUGCGGGAUGACGGGCUUCGGGUUGUAAACCGGUUUCAGCAGGGACGAAGCUGUUUGUGACGGUAACUGGAGAAGAAGCACCGGCUAACUACGUG
This 465-nucleotide ribosomal RNA is filed under the name uncultured bacterium. RNAcentral's name for it is "partial 16S ribosomal RNA". It matches the Rfam family "Bacterial small subunit ribosomal RNA", at positions 28 to 507 of the family's 1533-position model. The record is from RNAcentral.